GAAAAUGCAAUCCAGUCAAUGGACAAUUGCUGCAUUACAAAUGUUUGUGAAAAAUGACAACAAUGGUGGCAUUAAUGAUCCAGUUUCUGCUCUCUAUUUCCAAAGGUUUGAUAAAGAUGGAUGCAGAUUCAGCAAGCACUUCAUGAGAUGUGCUUCUUUGUGCCGUUCAUAGCAACAUGUGUGCUGUGCUGAAGAAUUUUUGCACUAUGUGGGGCCUGUAAAUUUUGCUUUAUUCAUUAAAGAUCAGUUUCCUUUAUUCAUUCUUGA
Molecule: unclassified non-coding RNA, 267 nt
Filed under: Hevea brasiliensis (rubber tree)
Lineage: Eukaryota; Viridiplantae; Streptophyta; Magnoliopsida; Malpighiales; Euphorbiaceae
Source: RNAcentral